CGACGUGGGCAACCUGCCUUAUACAGGGGGAUAACAGCUGGAAACAGCUGCUAAUACCGCAUAAGCGCACAGCGGCGCAUGACGCAGUGUGAAAAACUGAGGUGGUAUAAGAUGGGCCCGCGUCUGAUUAGCUGGUUGGGAGGGUAACGGCCUACCAAGGCGACGAUCAGUAGCCGGCUUGAGAGGGCGGACGGCCACAUUGGGACUGAGACACGGCCCAGACUCCUACGGAAGGCAGCAG
Molecule: ribosomal RNA, 241 nt
Filed under: uncultured bacterium
Lineage: Bacteria
Description: partial 16S ribosomal RNA
Rfam family: Bacterial small subunit ribosomal RNA
Source: RNAcentral